This 433-nucleotide unclassified non-coding RNA is filed under the name Trichuris trichiura (human whipworm). RNAcentral's name for it is "partial ITS2". The record is from RNAcentral. Lineage: Eukaryota; Metazoa; Nematoda; Enoplea; Trichinellida; Trichuridae.
GUUAAGCAAUAGCGAAUGCGCCGCUCAGGCUACAGGUUGAGGUUGGUGGCGAGCACUGGACAAACCUGCAUCCGCGAGCGAGCGUGACGCCGCAGCUCCGUUGCCAGCGAGCCGCGAUGGCAACUGCUAGCCGGAGCAGCGGAGAGCGGCCAAGUCAGCGUAGUGCGAAGACUACCCGACUCGGCUACUGGCCGCGCCGUCGGCGUACAGCAGCGCGAAUCGACAGUUGAGCACCGAGCGGUGACCGCACGCGCUCGCAGCAAGUGUUCGACGUCGUUGCACGGCAGCAGCAGUCGACGACGACGAUACCGCCCGCCUUGCUGCGGCGGGCACCGCUCGACCGACGGCGGCAAACGUUGCUGACACACUGCUACCGUCAGGUGAGCUGCCGGUAGCGGCGUCUUUGCCGUUCGACAACUGCCGGUUCGACGCG